CCUANGGGGGGCAGCAGUGAGGAAUAUUGGUCAAUGGGCGCAAGCCUGAACCAGCCAUGCCGCGUGAAGGAUGACGGCGCUACGCGUUGUAAACUUCUUUUGUACAGGAAGAAACGCUUCUACGUGUAGAAGUUUGACGGUACUGUGCGAAUAAGCAUCGGCUAACUCCGUGCCAGCAGCCGCGGUAAUACGGAGGAUGCAAGCGUUAUCCGGAUUUAUUGGGUUUAAAGGGUACGUAGGCGGAGAACUAAGUCAGUAGUGAAAUCCCGCAGCUUAACUGUGGAACUGUUAUUGAUACUGGUUUUCUUGAAUGUAGUUGAAGUAGGCGGAAUGUGUAAUGUAGCGGUGAAAUGCUUAGAUAUUACACAGAACACCGAUUGCGAAGGCAGCUUACUAAGCUAUGAUUGACGCUGAGGUACGAAAGCGUGGGGAGCGAACAGGAUUAGAUACCCCGNUANUC
RNAcentral lists this ribosomal RNA (460 nucleotides) under uncultured bacterium. Its description in RNAcentral is "bacterial SSU rRNA". It matches the Rfam family "Bacterial small subunit ribosomal RNA", at positions 338 to 795 of the family's 1533-position model. The record is from RNAcentral.